This 372-nucleotide ribosomal RNA is filed under the name uncultured organism. RNAcentral's name for it is "bacterial SSU rRNA". It matches the Rfam family "Bacterial small subunit ribosomal RNA", at positions 526 to 896 of the family's 1533-position model. The record is from RNAcentral.
CGUAGGUGGCAAGCGUUAUCCGGAUUUACUGGGCGUAAAGGGUGUGCAGGCGGGGUAGCAAGUGGUGUAUGAAAUCUCCCGGCUUAACCGGGAGGGGUUAUGCCAGACUGCUGCUCUAGAGGACGAGAGAGGGGGGUGGAAUUCCGGGUGUAGUGGUGAAAUGCGUAGAGAUCCGGAGGAACCCCAGAGGCGAAGGCGGCCCCCUGGCUCGUACCUGACGCUCAGCCACGAAAGCAUGGGGAGCGAACGGGAUUAGAAACCCCGGUAGUCCAUGCCGUAAACGAUGCAAACUAGGCGCUGACGGUCUCAACCCCGCCGGUGCCGCAGCUAACGCGAUAAGUUUGCCGCCUGGGGAGUACGGUCGCAAGGCUA